RNAcentral lists this unclassified non-coding RNA (149 nucleotides) under uncultured Cercophora. RNAcentral describes it as "sequence contains ITS2". The record is from RNAcentral. Lineage: Eukaryota; Fungi; Ascomycota; Sordariomycetes; Sordariales; Lasiosphaeriaceae.
CAACCAUCAAGCCCCGGGCUUGUGUUGGGGCCCUGCGGCUGCCGCAGGCCCUGAAAAACAGUGGCGGGCUCGCUGUCACACCGAGCGUAGUAAUACAUCUCGCUUUGGACGUGCGGCGGGUUCUUGCCGUUAAACACCCCCCUUCUCAA